GGGUUGGGUGGUCAGCCCAGGGGUGUAAAAGGACAAGGAGGUGAGGCAGGCUUUGGAGAAGCCACAUGAGAAAUACACGUAAAGAGGCUCCAAAAGGGAUAUAUGAGACCCAAAUAUUUUGGAGGUUUAUAGAUCAACUUUUUUGCCAAAGUAGCUUUAUGAUCAAAAUGUCAGAUCCUGCCCUGUAAAAUAUGUAUUUUCACUGAAAUAGCAACUGUUCUACAAAAAGUUUCACACCAGAAAAGGAUUACUAGCUCAUCUAGGAUUAAUGUUCACUCUUCAAAAGAUACCUACCAUAAGACCCAAAGACACAUGUAAAAGAUGACACCAAUGACUCUAAAAUGUAAAUGUUUGUGUUUUAAUAGAGAAAAUUCUAAUAGCAGUGAUUCAUGUCACUAGGCUAUCCAUAACUCCAAAGGAGAACAAGUAUUUCCAAAAACAAAUUUAAAUUAAAAGGCUUCUUUUCUGCAGAGAGAAAUCCACAUUUUCAGACUUUGUAACCAAAGUUACAAAACGGAAAAGCUGCAGGUCUGACUAAUAUGGACUGCUGACCUUAGGAAAAUCCAGGCUGUAUUUCUGACUAUGACUACUAAUUAUACAUCCACUUUUAAAAAUAAAUUUCUUACUUCGACUAAUUUUAGAUUUACAAAAGUUUACAAAGGUAGAAUUCCCAUAUACCCCUCACCCAGUUCCGUUUCCCCUAAUGUUACCAUCCUAUUUUAUAGUGGUACAGUGUCAAAAGUAAGAAACUCAACAUUGGUAUAUGACUAUUAACUAAACUCCAGACUCGAUUCAGAUUUCACUAGUUCUUCCAUUCAUGUCCUUCUGUUCCAAGGUCUCAUCCAGAAUAAUACAUUGCACUUAGCUGUCAUGUUUCUCUACUGUCCUGUUCUAUCAGUUUUUGAGUCUCCCCUUGUUUUUCAUACCUUGACAAUCUUGAGAAGUACUAGCCAGGGUAGACAGAGUGUAGCAAUAAUAACCAAACAUUUACAAAAGAAUUAACAUCAAUCCUCAAAUUCUUCCAAAAAAUAGAACAGGAGGGACACUUCCUAAAUUAUUCCACAAAGCCAGCAUUACCCCUAUAUCAAAGCCAGAUAAAACAUCACACACACAAAAAAAACUGAAAACCAAUAUACUUUAUGAGCAUAGAUGCAAAUUUCCUCAACAAAAUACUGGCAAGCUGAAUACAGCAGCAUAUAAAAAUUGUACAUCAUGACCAAGUGGGAUUUAUGCCAGAACUGCAAAGGUGGUUCGACGCACAAAAAUCAAUUAGUAUAAUAUACCCAACAUUAACAGGAUGAAGGAGGAAAAAAAUGAUCAUCUGAUUGAUACAGAGAAAGCAUCUGACAAAAUCUAACACCCGUUUGUGAUGAAAACACUCAAACUGGCAACAGAAGAGAACUUCCUCAACAUGGUAAAGGGCAUUAAAAAAAAAAACCACAGCAAACAUUAUACCCAAUGGCGAACGACUGAAAGCUUUCCCCCUAAAAUCAUAAACAAGGAUUCCCACUUUCGCCAUUUAUAUUAAACAUUGUACUGGAGUUCUAGCCAGAGCAAUUAGUCAAGAAAAAGAAAAAAAGGCGUCCAUGUUGAAAAGGAAAACAUAAAAUUAUCAUUUAUUCACAGAUGGCAUGAUCUUCUAUAAAGAAAAUCCUAAAGAAUCCACUUUAAAAAAAAAAAGUAUUAGUUAAUAAACAAAUUAGCAAAGCUACAGGGUACAGCAUCAACACAAAACUUAGUUGUAUGGCUAAAUACUAGCAAUAAAAAAUCCAAAUAUGAAAUAAAAAAAAAUUUAAUUUAUAACAAUACCAAAAAUAAAAUAUUAAGGGAAAAUUUAACCCAAAAAGGCACAGGACUUACACACUGAAAACUAUAAAACACUGCUGGAAUAAAUUAGAGACGGCCUAAAGAAAUGGAAAAACAUCUUAUGUUCAUGGAUUAGAAGACUUAAUAAUGUUAACAUGGCAAUACUCUCCAAAGUGGCCAAGAGUCAGUGCAAUCCUUAUCAAAAUCCUACUGACUGUUUGCAAAAAUAGAAAUGUUGAUCCUGAAAUUCAUGUGCAAUUGCAAGGGACCCUAAAUAACCAAAAUAAUCUUGAAAAAGUUGGGAGAAUUCAUAUUUCUGAUUUCAAAACUUGCUACAAAGCUACAGUAAUCAAAACAGUGUGGAAAGACCUGUAUACCAAUGCAACAGAACUGAGAGUCCAAAAAUAAAAUCUCACAUUUAUGGUCAAUUAAUUUUCGAAAACUGUGCCGAGACCAUCAACAGGGAAAGAAUUUGUUGAAAGACUAUUAGAAGACUAAUAAUCCCUCAACAAAUUGUGCAAAGACAACUGGAUAGCCACAUGAAAAAGAAUGAUGUUAAAUUCUUGCCUCAAAUUAACUCAAAAUGGAUCCAAGAUCUAAACAUAAGAGCUUAAACUAUAAAACUCUUAAGAAGUAAACACGGGAAAAUCUUCAUGAUCUUGAAAUUAGUAAGGGGUUUUUAUUUAUGACACCAAAAGCUUAAGCAACAAAAGAAUAAACAACUUCGAAAUUUAAAAAAUUUGUGCAAAGGACAGUAUUAAGUGAACAAUCCACAGAAAGAGACAAUAUUUGCAAAUCAUAUCUAAUAAAGAUCUAGUAUCCAGAAUAUAUAAAGAAUUCCUACAACUCGACCAAAAAAAGCCUGAUUCAAAAAUUGGCAAAGGGUCUACGGCCAAGCUACUCUGAACAAGCCCCAUCCCGUCUGAUCUCGGAAGCUAAGCAGAGUCAGGACUGGUUAGUACUUGGACAGGAGACCAGAAAGGAAGACCAAGUGCUUGCUGUAGGCAUAAAAAAAAAAGGGACUGUAAGCUGACAAGGUCCUUGCAAUCUGUGAGGUGACCAAGGGCUGCCUCGCCUAAAAAAAAAAAAAAAUUGGCAAAGGACUUGAAAAAACAUUUCUCCAAACAAGAUACACAAAUGGCCAACUAGCACAUGAAAGAUGCUCAACCUCAUUAGCCAUUAGAGAAAUGACACUCAAAAGCACAAUGCGAUACCACCUACUAGGAUGACCACACCCAAAAAAAUCAGAAUAUAACAAGCAUUGGCAAGGAGGUAGAGAAACAAACAUAUGCUGCAGGUGGGAAUGUAAAAUGGUACAGUAAAUACGGAAAAAAGUUUGGUGGCUCUUCAAAGCUUUUAAAAAAACAUAACAUAGAAUUGCCACAUGACCCAGCAAUUCCACUCUAACAAAUGUAUCCAAAAAAAACUGAAAACAAAUAUUCAAUCGAAUAGCUGUACACAAAUGCUCAAGGCAGCAUAUUGACAACAGCCAAAAGGUGGUAACAACCCCAAAGUCUAUCAGUGAGUGAAUGGAUAAAUGAAAUGUAAUGAUAUUCAUACAAUGCAAUAUUAUUCAGCAAUAGAAAGGAAUGAAGUAGUGAUACAUGUUACAACUAUGGAUGAACCUUGAAAACAAUAUGCUAAGUAAAAGCAGCUAGAUACAAAAGUUCACAUAUUGUGUGAUUCUAUUUAUAUGAAACAUCCAGAAUAGGCAAAUCCACAUACAGAACGCUGCCUAGUGGUUGCCAAGGACUUGGGGGGAAAGUGAAUUGGAAAUGGCUCCUUAUUGGGUACGGGGUUUCCUUUUGGGGUGAUGGAAAUGGAACUUAAUAAGGUGAUGGUUGCACAAUGCUGUUAAUCUACCAAAUGCCGCUGAACACUACACUUUAAAAUAGUUAAUGGUUAAUUUAUAGUAUGUGAAUUUUACAAUUGUUUUAAUGGGAAAAAAGUUCCAGAAGGAAAAAUCUUUUGGAAAACUAGUGAAAAACAUAAAAGCAAAGCUUAAAGAAAAUACAACUCAAGGGCAUUAAAAUACUAAAAUUUUAGAGUUCAAUUUAGACAUACACUUCUGGUAUUUUCAAAAUUUCUGAAUAAUUAUGCCUGAAAGACUUAAUGUACAAUGUAAAAGGUUCAGUCAUUCUGUUAUACACAAGACAGUGAAGGUACAUUACUCAAUUCACCAUGUUUUAAAACGAGUUAAGUUGUAUGCAGAACUGAUGGCCUGUCUGACAGUAACACAACAGCAACCAACUGAUGACUAUUAGUAUGGGACAGAUAUUUGGCUAACUCACACUUUCGAAUUUUCACAACCAUCCUUCCCUUUUUCUUUUUUUUUUUAACAGAUGAAGAUAAAUGGGCUCAUAGAGGCCCCCCAAGACCAAUUAAUUGUUACUUGGUAGAAAAGGAUUUCAAACAUUUGUAUCUCAACUCUAUGGACAAACCUGUGAGAUCAUGAUCAAGUUAUUUAACUUCUCCAAAUCUCAAUUUCCUUAUCUGUAGAAUGGAAAUGGUUGUUGUGAGAAUUAAAUAAUAAUACUGUCCCUAUGAUGGAAUAUAAAGCCCUACAAAAAAUAUGUACGAUGUUCUCAUCCUUAAGGAUGGCUACCAAGUAUUUCAGGGUAAUGUGUCUCCAACUUAUUUUCAAAUAGCUCCAAAAAAAUAAAUACACACCGCACCGAUGUAUAAAGAAAACAUGGCAAGACAUUAACUGUUGGAUUUGGAUGUAUAAACAAGGGUAAUUUUACUAUUCUUUCAACUUUUUAACAUUAAAAAUUUUUCAUAAUAAAAAGUUGGAAAAAAUUAAGAAGCAUUUCCUUUCCUAGUUUGGACCAACUCAAAUAUAUUGUCAAGCAAGGAAAACAAAGUAUGUGUGUCCCUAGAAUAAAAUAUCCUUGGAAGAAUACAUAAGAAAAUAUCUACUACAUUUGUGUCAGUAACUAAAGUAUAAAAGUAGAAGAUUUUUCAUCAGUUAUUACUCUAGCUCUACCAUUUUUUCAAAUAUUUUAUAACCUUUUGUAACUUUUUAAUUAAACCAUAAAAUUUGUCCUCUUCUAAUACAUAAUACUGAAUGGCCUAUUCGUCAGAAACUGUCCCGAAUCCGAAAAUGAAAUCCACGUAAAGGGCAGCUCUCAUCGGGUUACAAUCCUGAAAUGUUUGAAAGCAUUUUUCCUCAUUUAAAAGCAAAACAAAACCAAAAAACCAGGGGAAAAAAAUCCAAGUAAAAUUUAUCCCAUAAUGAGUACGAAAUAUGAGAUCAUUUAUAACAAUUUCCUAUUACUGUCCAUAACCAUCUCCUUUACAAAACAACAUAAGAAAAUUGGUAAUAAACCAAUUUCAAUCACUUUGAGCUAACAUGUGGUUCAUUCUACCAGAUUCCUCCUCUAUUAAAUUUAACGACUGUAUAACAGGUAGAACAGUAAAACACUGUACUCAAGAACUACUCAAGAGAUUUCGAUUUCCUUUAUAUUCCCCAAAUUCUGUUAUUUUAUCUCCUUAACAUCCAAAAAUUUAUCACCACUUGAAAAUGGAUAAUGAAUAACUGCCAUAUACAAAACCCAAAUCCUGAAAGUAUCAAGCAGAAAAACACCAAAUUCAUUCUUAAAUUGUCUAAACGUAUAAAGUUACACAAGCCUUAAAAGUAAACUCCAGUAAACUGGAAAAAGAAAAUUACAGAACGACACUGCCAAUGUACCUCUCCUACGUUAAUAAAGCGUUUAGAACAGGAAGAUGCUCACACAAAUUAGUAACUAAAACGUGUACACUAAUUAAAAGGCUUCGCUGAAAACAGAGUGAAGAAAAACUGAGGCCAACGUGAUGGGGACAGGAAUGAAUCAUUUUGGACUCAAAAAGAACUACCACGGACAUUCCAAAACUACUUGAACACAUGCAGAGCCCCAGCGCUAAUACUGCAAUGAGAAAACCGUCUAGGAAGAGGGAGUUAAACAAACGCCUCUGACACCCCAGUUGAAAACGACUAUAACCCACAGAAGUAAGCUCCUGAGCAGCUCGGCGGGCACUCGGAGGUUUGGUUCCCCGCCGCAGUCCCCGAACACCUCUGUCCACCCCUCCCCUCCACCAGGGGGGUGGGAGGAGUGCCCGGAAAGCUCCGCCCCCUCUCCGCCAGAGAGCCAAGCGGGUGCAGGGGGAGGCAGCACGAGGCCGAGGAGAAGGGAAAGCCCGCCCAGGUGACUGGAGGCGGAGACAGUCUGGGAAGGGGGCCGCUGUACCGCACGAAAGAUGGAGCCCCCCCUCCCCGCCCCAGUCCGUACGGAACUGGGACUAGGAGGAAAAAGGUGCAAAGGAGCAUGAGAGGGGCCCCCACUACAGGUUUUCAAGCGGAACGCGAACUGCUGUGGACUCAUUGGCUGCCUCGGAAGACGGAAGCAAAAAGUGAAGACUACGAUCAGAGCGCCUGCAGUGCAAUCCAGUAUUGUAGGCGCUUGAUACCUUCUCAGUACCUUAAUAUACCCUGUGUGACAGAGAAAAAAAGCCUUUAUUUUUUCUCUCAUUAUUGAUUGAACAUAUCAGGACCUAAGAAAGCAUUUUCCACAAGCAUAUAAGAAAUCACAGCACUCAUUAAAAAGAAGCCUCUGGUUUU
Long non-coding RNA from Pteropus alecto (black flying fox), 6403 nucleotides. RefSeq lists it as uncharacterized. The transcript has 2 exons. NCBI's taxonomy places the organism in Eukaryota, Metazoa, Chordata, Mammalia, Chiroptera, Pteropodidae. The record is from RefSeq and is a predicted model, not a curated record.